Molecule: long non-coding RNA, 741 nt
Organism: Gorilla gorilla gorilla (western lowland gorilla)
Lineage: Eukaryota; Metazoa; Chordata; Mammalia; Primates; Hominidae
Exons: 3
Source: RefSeq, a predicted model, not a curated record
UUGUGAAAUCUAGUUUCAGGCUAUUAAAGACAGACUGAUUUAUCUUUAGGAUGAUGUAUCAAGCUGUACUGUGAGAAUGGAGCAUUCAAGGUCAAGAAUACUCUCCUUCCUGCAUAUUGGCAAUUCAAUUUUAAAAGAUUGAAACACAAUGAAAGUGUUUCUAUCAGUUUCUUCUGUGUUCCUUGCAAUAAGGAUAUAUUUAAUUGAAAAAUUCUUCUGGAAGAUAGUUCAUCUCUGAAUAAACUACUCCAGGCCAUCUCGGUACAACUUGGAAAAAGCUUGAAACUGGUAGAAGCCAUCAAUGAAGUCUGAAGAUAGAGACACCGUAGGAGAAGUUUCAACACAACUGACCUGCAUUCCUUCUUAAUAAGAGACCAGCAACUAUGGAGUGAUUCUGGACAGUCUACAGAGGAUCCACAUUAAGUAUCUUCCUGUCUUCUCUUUCACGUUUUUUAGACAGCCAAAAACUCCACCCUUGGACCCAUGAAGAGGCAUGAGGCCCAAUUGUGCCUGUGCACGUUUCUCCUUUUGGAAAUAUUUAUGACAUUCAUGACUCCUUCUAUAGCUCAUUGAAUAUGUAUAUGUAGCUACCCAUUCAGCAUACAUCUGUCUUAUUCUUCUGAGCCUCCUCAAGUGCCUGUUUCUGGCCUCUGCCCAGAGGCUAUGCUUCCCAGGCUGUGAAAAUGGCCACUUGCAGGCUGCAACCCUUUAUAAGAAAUAAAGCUCUGCUUCCCAAAUUUA